Molecule: long non-coding RNA, 1116 nt
Organism: Herpailurus yagouaroundi (jaguarundi)
Lineage: Eukaryota; Metazoa; Chordata; Mammalia; Carnivora; Felidae
Exons: 2
Source: RefSeq, a predicted model, not a curated record
AAUGUCUUUUUUCUUAACUCUGGUUUAGUUAUUAUCGCCGUUUAAGAACUUUAUGAACCACAUUAAAGGGAAAGUAUGUUUUCUGAAAAGAAAAUCAUGCACACUUCUUUGGCACCAACAAGGUAUUUUUGUUUCCUGUAUAUGUAUGUUUACCAAAGAGAUCAACUCUUUAAUUUACAAGCAUUUAAAUUGUAUAUACUGUAUUGCCAGGCACAGUUUAAAAAAAACCUUACAAAUACUAGUUUAAUCCUCUUAACAACCUGGGAGGGAAGGUGCUUUUAUUAUCCUCAUUUUAUAGAUGAGGAAACAUGUGGAGAAGAACCAUAUCUGUGUCACACAGUUAGUGGAUGGCAGAGCUGAGAUUCAGACCCAGACAGUCUCUACAGUCUGCACUUCUAACUGCCACGUUCUCCUCCCUUCCUUGGAGGCCUCUACCAGGCAGAUCUUUUUCCUAGUCAUGUGGGUAGUAAGCACUUUCCCAUAUUUUUUGUCAUUACCACUCUAAGACUGCAGAAUAAUAAUCCAUUGAUUUAAUAUGCCAUAAAUCUUUUUUUUGCCAUAAAUCUUUUUAAUAAUUUGUCCAUUUGAGCCAUUUAAGUUCUGAGAGUUUUUGCAAUUAUAAAUAAUGUUGUUCUAAUCACUAAUAUCUUUAUGUGUUUGGGGAUGAAUUUUUAGGAGUGUAUUACUUAGUUAAGGAAUAUAAACAUUUUUAUAGCUUUUGAUACUGCCUUUUUCAUAUGGCUAAUAAAAAAACCCCACUUUUGCUUUUCUUGAUUUAUGUUCUUAAUUUUCCUUUUACAUUACGAACUUUGAAACAGUUUCUUCUCAGUAUUUUUCUGAAAUGUAACUGUCUUCUCAAUUAUUUACUUGAAGAAUAUAUGUUGGUUCGAUGGAAUGUUUUCUGAUAUUCCAGUCUGGAAUUCAUCGUGCUUUCUUUCAUUUACCCCUCUCCCCCACUGAGUUUGUAUUGUCAUGAAGAAGAUUGCUAGGUCUCUAAUCAGCCUGAUUUCCUGAAGUGAAACUUGAUUGACAGUUCAGAAGAGAUGCCUAUACUUUUCACAGUAAUGUCUGGAACCAAUGAUGAGGAUAUCUGUAUUUCAGUUAGAUUCACUUCUU